CUUUCCCUCCAACUAUGAUAGUUAAAGAUGUAAACACAACGGAAUAGGAUUACUGAAAGAUAAAAGAGUAGAUCAAAAGUUUACCUUUGAAACAGUCAUGAGUGAAUUCAAUAUAGAAGAUUCACCCACACCUCAACAUAGGAUUACUGUCAAAAGAACUAGGAGAAUUGGAGCUAAUAUGUUGAAAGAUAGAGCCCCAAACAUUUCUUCACUACCAUUGGUUUAAAAUAGAUGGCUAAAAGUACUCAAACAUAACAGAUUUUGGUUUCACCCAAUUUGAUAGAAAAUCUAUAAAUAUCUUAUAACUCAUGUAAAUAUACUAUCUUGGCCCGAACAUUAGCCAAUUCUCAUGAUUUAGCAUGAUUUAGCAUAAUAGUCUCUUUGAACCAUUUUAUCGAACAUGUAAUAUACAUAACAUGUAAAGUCAGAUUUUUCAUGGAUUUUAAACAUGUAAUCAUGCCAUCUCCUUUCAAAAUUCUUAUUAUAUCCUCUUGACUCCAUUUGAUUCCACCAUUCAAAUAACAUCCCACAACCAAACAUGGCAAUAACAAUAAACAAUUACUAAUUUUCCAUGAAUUUACUAAGGAAGCUUACAUACUUUUUCAAUAAAAUUUAACAAACACUAUUUCUAACUUGGUGAUGAACAAGUGUAAUCCUUCCUGCUGCAAUUGCUUUCUACUUCCCACUGAUUUACUUGUUAGUUCCCAUCUCUUCUUGUAUGCUUGGUGAUUUCAAUAGAAAUUGAAGAAGUUGGG
Molecule: long non-coding RNA, 755 nt
Filed under: Panax ginseng (ginseng)
Lineage: Eukaryota; Viridiplantae; Streptophyta; Magnoliopsida; Apiales; Araliaceae
Description: long non-coding RNA (PGIN_LNC005921)
Source: RNAcentral